Molecule: ribosomal RNA, 864 nt
Filed under: uncultured marine group I thaumarchaeote
Lineage: Archaea; Thermoproteati; Nitrososphaerota
Description: SSU rRNA
Rfam family: Archaeal small subunit ribosomal RNA
Source: RNAcentral
CCCGCCGGACCUGACUGCUAUCGGAUUGAUACUAAGCCAUGCGAGUCUUUGCAGUAAUGCAAGGCAUACGGCUCAGUAACACGUAGUCAACCUACCCUAUGGACGAGAAUAAUCUCGGGAAACUGAGCAUAAUUCUUGAUAGAUCAUAAUGCCUGGAAUGGUUUAUGGUUAAAAUGAUUCGUCGCCAUAGGAUGGGACUGCGGCCUAUCAGCUUGUUGGUGAGGUAAUGGCCCACCAAGGCGAUUACAGGUACGGGCUCUGAGAGGAGAAGCCCGGAGAUGGGUACUGAGACACGGACCCAGGCCCUAUGGGGCGCAGCAGGCGAGAAAACUUUGCAAUGUGCGAAAGCACGACAAGGUUAAUCCGAGUGAUUUCUGCUAAAGAAAUCUUUUGCCAGUCGUAAAACCGCUGGUGAAUAAGGGGUGGGCAAGUUCUGGUGUCAGCCGCCGCGGUAAAACCAGCACCUCAAGUGGUCAGGAUGAUUAUUGGGCCUAAAGCAUCCGUAGCCGGCUUUGUAAGUUUUCGGUUAAAUCCAUGUGCUCAACGCAUGGGCUGCCGAAAAUACUGCAUAGCUAGGGAGUGGGAGAGGUAGACGGUAUUCAGUAGGUAGGGGUAAAAUCCUUUGAUCUAUUGAUGACCACCUGUGGCGAAGGCGGUCUACCAGAACACGUUCGACGGUGAGGGAUGAAAGCUGGGGGAGCAAACCGGAUUAGAUACCCGGGUAGUCCCAGCUGUAAACGAUGCAGACUAGAUGAUGCAUUGGCAUAAUAGCCAUUGCAGUGUCCCAGGGAAGCCGUUAAGUCUGCCGCCUGGGAAGUACGUACGCAAGUAUGAAACUUAAAGGAAUUGGCGGGGGAGCACCAC